CGUGUAGGCGGAUUUUUAAGUCAGGUGUGAAAUCUUUGGGCUCAACCCAGAGUUUGCAUUUGGAUACUGGAAGUCUUGAGUGCAGGAGAGGACAGUGGAAUUCCUAGUGUAGCGGUGAAAUGCGUAGAUAUUAGGAGGAACACCAGUGGCGAAGGCGACUGUCUGGACUGUAACUGACGCUGAGGCGCGAAAGCGUGGGGAGCAAACA
This 208-nucleotide ribosomal RNA is filed under the name uncultured bacterium. RNAcentral describes it as "partial 16S ribosomal RNA". It matches the Rfam family "Bacterial small subunit ribosomal RNA", at positions 568 to 774 of the family's 1533-position model. The record is from RNAcentral.